This 498-nucleotide ribosomal RNA is filed under the name uncultured bacterium. Its description in RNAcentral is "partial 16S ribosomal RNA". It matches the Rfam family "Bacterial small subunit ribosomal RNA", at positions 28 to 507 of the family's 1533-position model. The record is from RNAcentral.
GACGAACGCUGGCGGCGUGCCUAAUACAUGCAAGUCGAACGAGAGCGACCGGUGCUUGCACUGGUCAAUCUAGUGGCGAACGGGUGAGUAACACGUGGGUAACCUGCCCAUCAGAGGGGGAUAACAUCCGGAAGCGGAUGCUAAAACCGCAUAGGUCUUCGAGCCGCAUGGCUUGAAGAGGAAAAGAGGCGCAAGCUUCUGCUGAUGGAUGGACCCGCGGUGCAUUAGCUAGUUGGUGAGGUAACGGCUCACCAAGGCCGUGAUGCAUAGCCGACCUGAGAGGGUGAUCGGCCACAUUGGGACUGAGACACGGCCCAAACUCCUACGGGAGGCAGCAGUAGGGAAUCUUCCGCAAUGGACGCAAGUCUGACGGAGCAACGCCGCGUGAGUGAAGAAGGUGUUCGGAUCGUAAAACUCUGUUGUUAGAGAAGAACAAGUGCUAGAGUAACUGUUAGCGCCUUGACGGUAUCUAACCAGAAAGCCACGGCUAACUACGUG